Molecule: ribosomal RNA, 447 nt
Filed under: uncultured bacterium
Lineage: Bacteria
Description: bacterial SSU rRNA
Rfam family: Bacterial small subunit ribosomal RNA
Source: RNAcentral
UGGGGAAUCUUGGACAAUGGGCGCAAGCCUGAUCCAGCCAUGCCGCGUGAGUGACGAAGGUCUUCGGAUUGUAAAGCUCUUUUAGCAGGGAAGAUAAUGACGGUACCUGCAGAAUAAGCCCCGGCUAACUUCGUGCCAGCAGCCGCGGUAAUACGAAGGGGGCUAGCGUUGUUCGGAAUUACUGGGCGUAAAGCGCACGUAGGCGGAUUGAUAAGUUAGAGGUGAAAUCCCGGGGCUCAACCUCGGAACUGCCUUUGAUACUGUUAGUCUCGAGUCCGAUAGAGGUGAGUGGAAUUCCUAGUGUAGAGGUGAAAUUCGUAGAUAUUAGGAAGAACACCAGUGGCGAAGGCGGCUCACUGGAUCGGUACUGACGCUGAGGUGCGAAAGCGUGGGGAGCAAACAGGAUUAGAUACCCAUGUAGUCCCUGAGCGGGCUGGCAAGGCGCAU